GACGAACGCUGGCGGCGUGCUUAACACAUGCAAGUCGAACGGGUCUGCCUUGUUUUUUGCGGGGUGGGUUAGUGGCGAACGGGUGAGUAACACGUGAGUAACCUGCCCCUCACUUCUGGAUAACCGCUUGAAAGGGUGGCUAAUACGGGGUGUUCUGGCUGUGCCGCAUGGUGUGGCUGGGAAAGAUUCACUUUUGUGGUGUUUUGGUGGGGGAUGGGCUCGCGGCCUAUCAGCUUGUUGGUGGGGUGAUGGCCUGCCAAGGCUUUGACGGGUAGCCGGCCUGAGAGGGUGGGCGGUCACACUGGGACUGAGAUACGGCCCAGACUCCUGCGGGAGGCAGCAGUGGGGGGUAUUGCACAAUGGGCGGAAGCCUGAUGCAGCGACGUCGCGUGAGGGAUGGAGGCCUUCGGGUUGUGAACCUCUUUCGCCGGUGAAGAAGGUCCUGUUCUUUGUGGUGGGGCUGACGUAGCCGGGU
This 475-nucleotide ribosomal RNA is filed under the name Actinomyces israelii. RNAcentral's name for it is "bacterial SSU rRNA". It matches the Rfam family "Bacterial small subunit ribosomal RNA", at positions 28 to 484 of the family's 1533-position model. Lineage: Bacteria; Bacillati; Actinomycetota; Actinomycetes; Actinomycetales; Actinomycetaceae. The record is from RNAcentral.